This 254-nucleotide ribosomal RNA is filed under the name uncultured bacterium. RNAcentral describes it as "partial 16S ribosomal RNA". It matches the Rfam family "Bacterial small subunit ribosomal RNA", at positions 524 to 776 of the family's 1533-position model. The record is from RNAcentral.
UACGGGGGGAGCAAGCGUUGUUCGGAUUUACUGGGCGUAAAGGGCGCGUAGGCGGCCAGCGCAAGUCAGUUGUGAAAUCUCCGGGCUUAACCCGGAAAGGUCAAUCGAUACUGCGGGGCUAGAGUGCAGAAGGGGCAACUGGAAUUCUCGGUGUAGCGGUGAAAUGCGUAGAUAUCGAGAGGAACACCUGCGGCGAAGGCGGGUUGCUGGGCUGACACUGACGCUGAAGCGCGAAAGCCAGGGGAGCGAACGGG